UCCCCGAUAGCUCAGCGGUAGAGCGGCCGGCUGUUAACCGGUAGGUCGUAGGUUCGAAUCCUACUCGGGGAGCCA
This 75-nucleotide transfer RNA is filed under the name Chloroflexota bacterium. Its description in RNAcentral is "Chloroflexi bacterium tRNA-Asn". It matches the Rfam family "tRNA". Rfam says of the family: Transfer RNA (tRNA) molecules are approximately 80 nucleotides in length. Their secondary structure includes four short double-helical elements and three loops (D, anti-codon, and T loops). The record is from RNAcentral. Lineage: Bacteria; Bacillati; Chloroflexota. RNAcentral also lists the same sequence under 1 other name.